This 774-nucleotide ribosomal RNA is filed under the name uncultured Neocallimastigales. RNAcentral's name for it is "partial large subunit ribosomal RNA". It matches the Rfam family "Eukaryotic large subunit ribosomal RNA", at positions 20 to 635 of the family's 3401-position model. Lineage: Eukaryota; Fungi; Neocallimastigomycota; Neocallimastigomycetes; Neocallimastigales. The record is from RNAcentral.
UACUAGAGUAGCACUCGCAUAUCAAUAAGCGGAGGAAAAGAAACUAACAAGGAUUCCCCUAGUAACGGCGAGUGAAGCGGGAAGAGCUCAAAUUUGAAAUCUUAAAGGGUUUCCCUUUACGAAUUGUAGUUUAAAGAAGUGUUUUCUGUUGAGGUUUUGGUAAAAGUUCUUUGGAAUAGGACAUCAUAGAGGGUGAGAAUCCCGUAUUUGACCUUUACUUUCAACUUUGUGAUACACUUUCAAAGAGUCGGAUUGUUUGGGAAUGCAGUCCAAAAUGGGUGGUAAAUUUCAUCUAAAGCUAAAUAUUGGCGAGAGACCGAUAGCGAACAAGUACCGUGAGGGAAAGAUGAAAAGAACUUUGAAAAGAGAGUUAAACAGUACGUGAAAUUGUCAAAAGGGAAGCGUUUGACACCAGUGUUGUUUUUCUGAAAAUCAAUUAAAGAGCUGUUUAUGCUAAGUUGUUUAGACUUUAUCAGCUAUCUGUUUAGUUUUGAGCUUUUCUUUAAUGCACUUUUCAGUUAACAAGUCAACAUCAAUUUCUUUUGCUGUAAAAAAGCUUGAGGAAGGUGGCUUGAGAUUCGUCUUAAGUGUUUAUAGCCUCUUGCCUAUGCAGUCGGAGAGAUUGAGGUCUGCAGCGUAGAUCCUUCGGGGCUAAAUGCAUUUGUGCUAAGUUAUAGCAUUUUAUAGACAACUUGUUGACUAUGAUUUGUCUUGUAGCUUACUCGCUUAUGUUAUUUUACCUACGCUUAGGAUGUUGAUCUACAGAGCGAGAGU